AUUAAAUGUGAAACAAUUUUUUGUUCAAACAUGAAUGGGUACAUAAAAAGCCGCCCUAUAAUGUUUCCAUGAUAAAAAAAAUUACAACAUUUUAUAAAACACGAAUAUAUGCUUAAGCUUUUAUUACAAAGAAUUCAAAUACAAAAAAAAUAACCAUAAAUUUUCUUAAAAAAAUACACACAAAAAAAAAGCAAAAUGGCUUAAAAUGAGCCAAGAAGCCAAGCCCCAACAAUAUAAGAAAACAUUAGUCUCAAAAGAAACAUCAAUAGUCAUUAUCACUGAAAAAGAGCGAUGAGGAUGUUGGAAAUGCCUAGAGUGAAGGCAGAAAAUGUACUUGAUGAUGGCGUGUAAAGCCUCUGAAAGGAGACCAUGGUGCAUCAACAAGAAAAAAAAACCCCAUCAAUCUCCAUAGAGCAAAAGGAAAUCAACGACGGGGUAAGAACCCACGAUUAAUGAGAGAGGCUUCAACCAUAAGUUGAGUAGGCUAGUGUGAUAAAUCCUAAGGUCCAACCCGCAUAGGACUAAAGAGACAACAACACAAACACACAGAGAGGAGCAAGGUUACUGGAAGAGAAAAAAAGAAAUAAGAAAAGGUCAAGCCCAAUACCACAAGUAUAGGGCAAAACCCCACGAGACGUUCGAAAAGUCUCUCACAAUGUCAACCUAAGGUCAAAGGAGGAGAGGGGGCAAGGUUUAAACAUCAUUUUGUAGAGAGUGAAGGGAAAAAAAGAAAAAAAAAAAAGAGGAAGGGGAAGAGAGAACCAAACAUCAAUCGACACAAAGCCGACUGAAUCAACGAC
This 800-nucleotide long non-coding RNA is filed under the name Gossypium raimondii (Peruvian cotton). RNAcentral's name for it is "long non-coding RNA (GRAI_LNC009912)". The record is from RNAcentral. Lineage: Eukaryota; Viridiplantae; Streptophyta; Magnoliopsida; Malvales; Malvaceae.